Molecule: ribosomal RNA, 21 nt
Filed under: Pulsatilla tongkangensis
Lineage: Eukaryota; Viridiplantae; Streptophyta; Magnoliopsida; Ranunculales; Ranunculaceae
Description: partial 18S ribosomal RNA
Source: RNAcentral
ACCUGCGGAAGGAAUCAUUUG